RNAcentral lists this ribosomal RNA (567 nucleotides) under Triticum aestivum (bread wheat). RNAcentral describes it as "partial small subunit ribosomal RNA". The record is from RNAcentral. Lineage: Eukaryota; Viridiplantae; Streptophyta; Magnoliopsida; Poales; Poaceae.
ACGAGCACGCCAAAAAAUCCAGACAAGUUGGCGAUAGUUCUUGCGGAUGACCAAACUAAUGGCAAUCAAGAAGAUGAUGGUCAUACUCCUACAGAAGGCAAUGUUGACGUCAACAUGGAUGAUAGCAAUGUGAGUGAUCAUGAGCCCAUACUUAAUUCAUAUGCGGUAGAAUCUACUAGUGUUGAUGAGGAACAAGUUAGUGUGGAUAUUUAUGACCCAAGCAAUUGGGGUAAUCUUGAUAACAAAGCAAGGGACAUAUUAGUGGAAAAGGGGCCUAAAAUGGAAGAAGAAAACAAUAAACAUCCUUUGGAUGAAAAUUCAAGACAUUUUUCGUAUAGCCAUUACUCCAGAAAGAUGAGCAAUGGAGAGGUGCGUGAUAGGAAAUGGUUAGUUUUUUCAAAACACACAAAGAAAGUGUUUUGUUUUCGCUGUAAGCUUUUCAAUUCUGAUAAAUGCAACAGUGCAAUGGGGAAUGAUGGGUUUUGUGAUUGGAGGCAUAUUAAUGAGAGACUGAAAGAGCACGAAGCUAGUGAUUUUGCAUCUCAGAAUGUUAGGAGAAAUGUUUGA